CUGGGGUCUGGGAGGCUACGUGGAAGAUGGAACUACUUUUUGUGUCGGAUCGCGGAAGGAUAUUGCACCAUUGAGUGCGUCACAGCGCCCCACUCCUUCCUCCCUCUGCCUCCCCUUCCCCCCCGCGCGCACGGGGUUUCCCGUCCGGUCCCUGCUGCAGCGCGGGGCGGGCGGGGGAAUGGCGGCGCCGGCGCGGCCGGGCUGAGGGCACGGCGAGCGGCCCUGCGGCAGCGCCUGGGGCGGCAUAGCGGCCCCUUUUCGUGACCGCGUGUCCCCCACCGUGUUGGUUGUUCUUAAAGCCCCGGAGUCGGGGGGUGAUACGAGAGAGAAAGAGGCUUCCUCAGGCGGGGGCCGCGCAUCCGCCCCAUCCGCACACAGAAAUGGCUCCCUCCUCCUUCUCCUCAUCCUCCUCCUCCUCCUCCCUGGCAGGCGAAACACACCCCGAGCUGUCCCCCUGCGCUCCCGGAGCCGGGGCAGCGUUGGUCAUGAGGGCUGGGAGCUCACGGAGAGGCCCCGAGGCGGGGGGGGCGAUGGAGGCGCCUCUGAGGGCUCCCCGGCCCCGGCUCGCCCAGCGCGGGCCCGUGGCUGAAUCCCGUCCCGAGGCGCUGAGGGUGGAUCCUUCCCGAAGGGGAUGCAGGGCUGUUUGUAGGAGACACGUUAGGUGGUCCUCGGCGUGCUGCCGAAAGCGCUGCAGAUCGCAGUACAGGAAAAAAAAAACUGUCAAGAAUGAUUUAAAGAAGAAAGGAGAAUGAAGUGAGAACUGUGAAGGACUGCUGCCUCAGAACUGCUGUUGCCAUAGAGCUGCUAACGAGGAAAAAAAACUGCAGCAUGGAUUUCUUGUGCUGCUGAAGAUCGAUGAGAGCAAAUUGUUUGAGGACUUCUGGGUAGUGAUAAAAGGAAAGGGAACCUGCUUUUUAAGAAUCUCAAGCAACUACAGGGAAAGUGUGAAAACAGAUUUGUUUGUGCAGGAGCUGUCUGGGUGUGUCCAUAAUGAAUGGAGAAGGAAUGGUGUCUUCACCUGAAGAUUCAUCACCUAAUCUAGAUUUGAUGACUUGCCACUGGAGGAGGAUAUACUUUACUGUUCAUUUCAGAAGUCCUGGCAGCAAGCAUUUCACAACCCACAGCCUGGAUACAGUAAUUCCUGAAGGAAUGCACAGCAUAAUGAAUACUGCAUGAUCACAAAAUAGUUCACCUCGUGCAAAGCCAUAGCAGAAAACGAUGCAACAUGGCUGUUUCCCAAUCAUCCCUGCUUCACUGGUUUCUUUUAUUUGGAGAAAUUCUUUCAGCUUCUCCUCAUAGAGGCUACCGAGUGAGAGAGGAAGUGUAACCUUUCUCCACCCAGCAACAAAAAUGCAAUGGUUUUGGAGCACUUCCCAUUUCCAUGAUGUCUCUGUGCAACGCAGCACAGAAGCUGAGCUGGCCUGUACCUUCUUCCCCGGCUGCAGGCAGGGCACCUGGGCUAGAGAUGCUGGAUGACCCAAACGUGACAGCACACGGAAAAACAAGCCCUGCCUCGUGGGAGAAGCAGCUUUGCCAGACUGCUGGGUCCAGAGUUAACAGCAGAACUUUUUAAUUUGGGGAUUUUUAGCAGCACUUCCAUGUAUCGAGAUACUAAUUAAUGGCUUAUAUUAAAAGGUCAGGUUGUUGAGUUUCUUAUUUUGUA
Molecule: long non-coding RNA, 1663 nt
Organism: Passer domesticus (house sparrow)
Lineage: Eukaryota; Metazoa; Chordata; Aves; Passeriformes; Passeridae
Exons: 5
Source: RefSeq, a predicted model, not a curated record